UAUAACAUAUUUUAUCACAACAUCAAUAUCAUAACCAAUCCAUUCAUGACCCAAUGUCGUUUUCUUAUACUAUGUCGUCAUGACCUGUUAUCACUAAAAGGUACCUGUUUCUCAACAGGGCAAUUCGAGCCCUCUUCCAUCGCAACUUCCGACCUAUCUCCCCAACUUCUCAAGGACUAACAAGUAAAAACACUGGCACUACACGCACCAAUGCACUAUACUAAGCACGAACCGAAGUCUUUUGGGCGAGACAUCCACCUCCCCGCGUAGAGGGAAGUGACACUCCAAUCAUUAUCUCUUAAACGAGAGUCCAACAACAUCACAUUCUUAGCGUAGCAUAGUAUGAAAAGUUCACACAUAACCAACGACAGUACAAGGAAAUAACAUAGUUUCAUGUCCACAUCACACAUCAAUACCCAUUCUCAACAACAUGCAUUGCUCACCAAUCAUAAAGUUUAUCUCACCAUUAUCAAAAUAUACAGUGCUCCCUCAUCAUAAUGUUCAACACGUCCUGCUCAUCACCUUUCAUGCAUAGUCUUAAUACUAUAUAUUAACUCACCGAUCACAAACUAAUACCCAUCCUCACUAAUAUGUAUUAAAGAAACAAUCAUCGAUUUAAACACAAUCUCAACACUUUUCACUCAAAAUCUCAAUGAUAAACAUCAAUUUAUCAAACACAAGAUUUUACUACACCAUAUAAAAAUACGACUUCAUAUACAACACCACAACAACAUCUUAUAAGCAUAUUACCACAUCAAUAAGUCACCACAGAAAUAUAUAAAAUUACUACGAUAAAAUAUCACCACAACGCAUAAAAAUACUCAACUUUUAUAAUUUAUUUUACAUACAUAAUAAUCCCUCAAUCCCUCAUAUUAAAUUAUAAAAAUUAUUCAUAUCAUCUCUUAACUUAUAUAUACCGACUAAAACAACAUGUAUACUAUACAAAUCUCUAGUCGUUUCACUAAAACUCCCUCCCACAACAACCUGAAAAUCCACGUAACAAGGGUUACUUAUAUUAAUAUGCAUUAGAUGUAUCUCUCCCAACUCACUCCCAUGCAAACCGAAAUGCACACCUCACAAUAUAUAUACAUUUAUAUACGAAUGGAAAUAACAACAAUAACUGUAACCGCAACAUCACCUAACUCCAAACACACAUGAUAAUUCUAGUCACCCUCUUACAAUGAUUCACAAGCAUAGAACAAAUAUUAUGCCACAUCACAAAAUAUUUCCUUAUAACAUAAAAGUACUUAUCAAAACCCUAAAUCAAUCAUGUGUUAAAAUAUAACUGAUUCCUCUAUGCCUUCUAAGAUUCGUUGGACUGCUAAGAGCACGGUCUCUCCCUCUUGUCUCAGCUUUACAUGGUUUCACCUCCAUUACACUCCCAUAUGCCCACACUAGAACGCAAGCUUCCCUCCUCUCUCCCACUCUCUUUGUUCCAUGUAUACUCCUAUUUGUUAACCUAAAAGAAUGUGUUUUUAAUUCCUCUCUUCUAACCCUAAUAUAACCUUUUAUCUUUUCAAACUUUCUGUUAAG
This 1533-nucleotide long non-coding RNA is filed under the name Vigna radiata. RNAcentral describes it as "long non-coding RNA (VRAD_LNC010420)". The record is from RNAcentral. Lineage: Eukaryota; Viridiplantae; Streptophyta; Magnoliopsida; Fabales; Fabaceae.